Molecule: ribosomal RNA, 499 nt
Filed under: fungal endophyte
Lineage: Eukaryota; Fungi
Description: eukaryotic LSU rRNA
Rfam family: 5.8S ribosomal RNA (bases 164-317)
Source: RNAcentral
GAGUUUUCUAAACUCCCAAACCCAUGUGAACUUACCAUUGUUGCCUCGGCGGAGCCUACCCUGUAGCUACCCUAUAAGGUGGUUACCCUGUAGCGCCCCGCCGGUGGAUUUUCAAACUCUUGUUAUUUAUAGUAAUCUGAGAGUCUUAUUUUAAAUAAGUCAAAACUUUCAACAACGGAUCUCUUGGUUCUGGCAUCGAUGAAGAACGCAGCGAAAUGCGAUAAGUAAUGUGAAUUGCAGAAUUCAGUGAAUCAUCGAAUCUUUGAACGCACAUUGCGCCCAUUAGUAUUCUAGUGGGCAUGCCUGUUCGAGCGUCAUUUCAACCCUUAAGCCUAGCUUAGUGUUGGGAGUCUACGAGUGGGCCAGGCUACCCUGUAGCGUGGUUACCCUGUAGUUCCUGAAAAUCAACGGCGGAUUUACAGUAUCCUCUGAGCGUAGUAAUUUUUUAUCUCGCUUUUGUUUAGGUGCUGUGACUUCGGCCGCUAAACCCCCAAUUUUU